UCCUACGGGGGGCAGCAGUAGGGAAUUUUCGUCAAUGGGCGCAAGCCUGAACGAGCAAUGCCGCGUGAACGAGGAAGGUCUUCGGAUCGUAAAGUUCUGCUGAAGGGGAAAAAGAGCGGAGAGAGGAAAUGGUCUCCGAUUGAUAUUACCCUUCGAGGAAGUCACGGCUAACUACGUGCCAGCAGCCGCGGUAAUACGUAGGUGGCGAGCGUUAUCCGGAAUGAUUGGGCGUAAAGGGUGCGUAGGCGGCCUGCUAAGUCUGGAGUGAAAGGUACCGGCUCAACCGGUACAGGCUCUGGAAACUG
RNAcentral lists this ribosomal RNA (305 nucleotides) under uncultured bacterium. RNAcentral's name for it is "bacterial SSU rRNA". It matches the Rfam family "Bacterial small subunit ribosomal RNA", at positions 337 to 635 of the family's 1533-position model. The record is from RNAcentral.